CAGUCGAGCGAACAGAUGAGAAGCUUGCUUCUCUGAUGUUAGCGGCGGACGGGUGAGUAACACGUGGGUAACCUACCUAUAAGACUGGGAUAACUCCGGGAAACCGGGGCUAAUACCGGAUAAUAUUUUGAACCGCAUGGUUCAAUAGUGAAAGACGGUUUCGGCUGUCACUUAUAGAUGGACCCGCGCCGUAUUAGCUAGUUGGUAAGGUAACGGCUUACCAAGGCGACGAUACGUAGCCGACCUGAGAGGGUGAUCGGCCACACUGGAACUGAGACACGGUCCAGACUCCUACGGGAGGCAGCAGUAGGGAAUCUUCCGCAAUGGGCGAAAGCCUGACGGAGCAACGCCGCGUGAGUGAUGAAGGUCUUCGGAUCGUAAAACUCUGUUGUUAGGGAAGAACAAAUUUGUUAGUAACUGAACAAGUCUUGACGGUACCUAACCAGAAAGCCACGGCUAACUACGUGCCAGCAGCCGCGGUAAUACGUAGGUGGCAAGCGUUAUCCGGAAUUAUUGGGCGUAAAGCGCGCGUAGGCGGUUUCUUAAGUCUGAUGUGAAAGCCCACGGCUCAACCGUGGAGGGUCAUUGGAAACUGGGAAACUUGAGUGCAGAAGAGGAGAGUGGAAUUCCAUGUGUAGCGGUGAAAUGCGCAGAGAUAUGGAGGAACACCAGUGGCGAAGGCGGCUCUCUGGUCUGUAACUGACGCUGAUGUGCGAAAGCGUGGGGAUCAAACAGGAUUAGAUACCCUGGUAGUCCACGCCGUAAACGAUGAGUGCUAAGUGUUAGGGGGUUUCCGCCCCUUAGUGCUGCAGCUAACGCAUUAAGCACUCCGCCUGGGGAGUACGACCGCAAGGUUGAAACUCAAAGGAAUUGACGGGGACCCGCACAAGCGGUGGAGCAUGUGGUUUAAUUCGAAGCAACGCGAAGAACCUUACCAAAUCUUGACAUCCUUUGACCGCUCUAGAGAUAGAGUCUUCCCCUUCGGGGGACAAAGUGACAGGUGGUGCAUGGUUGUCGUCAGCUCGUGUCGUGAGAUGUUGGGUUAAGUCCCGCAACGAGCGCAACCCUUAAGCUUAGUUGCCAUCAUUAAGUUGGGCACUCUAGGUUGACUGCCGGUGACAAACCGGAGGAAGGUGGGGAUGACGUCAAAUCAUCAUGCCCCUUAUGAUUUGGGCUACACACGUGCUACAAUGGAUAAUACAAAGGGCAGCGAAUCCGCGAGGCCAAGCAAAUCCCAUAAAAUUAUUCUCAGUUCGGAUUGUAGUCUGCAACUCGACUACAUGAAGCUGGAAUCGCUAGUAAUCGUAGAUCAGCAUGCUACGGUGAAUACGUUCCCGGGUCUUGUACACACCGCCCGUCACACCACGAGAGUUUGUAACACCCGAAGCCGGUGGAGUAACC
RNAcentral lists this ribosomal RNA (1401 nucleotides) under Mammaliicoccus sciuri. RNAcentral describes it as "bacterial SSU rRNA". It matches the Rfam family "Bacterial small subunit ribosomal RNA". Lineage: Bacteria; Bacillati; Bacillota; Bacilli; Caryophanales; Staphylococcaceae. The record is from RNAcentral.